Drosophila biarmipes is the source of this 1387-nucleotide long non-coding RNA. RefSeq lists it as uncharacterized. The record is from RefSeq and is a predicted model, not a curated record. The transcript has 2 exons. Lineage: Eukaryota; Metazoa; Arthropoda; Insecta; Diptera; Drosophilidae.
GGCAUAUCAAUUUGGUUCAGAGCUAAACAGUUUAAAUAAUAAUAAAGAAUUCAAAAUUUCUUCAAAAAUUCUAAGUUUACAUCCAUUUAUUGAUCAGGAUAAAAUUAUCAGACUAGGCGGUAGAUUACAAAAUUACAAUGCUAGAUUCGAGAUAAAACAUCCAAUUAUUCUCGACAAAGGGCAUAUUUCUUUAUUAAUUAUUGAGGAUGCUCAUAACCAAACCUCACAUGGUGGAAUAAAUUUGAUGAGAACAUACAUUCAAAGAAAAUAUUGGAUAUUUGGGUUGAAAAAUUCAUUAAAGAAAAAAUUAAAUGAGCGCAGCAAGAAAAUUAGACGAAGAGUUAGCGAAAGCAAUUAAAAAAAAUUCAGCGGUGGCAAAUCAACUCGGAAAAGAAGGGAUUGAGUGGCAUUUUAUCCCCCUGGCAGGACCUCACUUUAGAGGUAUCUGGGAGGCCGGCGUAAAAUCUAUGAAAGAUCACCUAAAACGGGUGAUUGGUGACGGAAACUUAACAUGCGAAGAUGUCAACACUUUUAUGCCAAAUAGAAGGAGUGUAGAAUCCACGACCCCUAUACUUAUCAGAUAAUGAUAUAGAGGAAAAUGAAGUACUUACACCUGGACACUUUUUGAUACGACGACCAACGUUAGAUGUGAUUGAGCCCAUAAAUGAAAAAGAAAAAAUAGGUAACUUGGAUAGGUAGAAAUUAAUCCAAAAAAUUAAAAAUAUUUUUGGAUAAAAUGGAAAGAUGACUCUUGCAUACCCUACAACAGAGGCAUAAAUGGAAAAGGAAUAGCCCCAAUAUAGAAAAGGGACAGGUAGUUCUAAUAAAGGAUGAAAAUUGUCAUCCAUUAAGAUGGCCGUUAGGAAAAGUCCAAGAAGUGUAUAAGGGUAAGACGAGAAAGUUCGGGUAAUAAAAGUCAAGCUGCAGGACGCAUGCAUUUCCCGACCGAUUACCAAGGCUUGCCCUCUUGUAGGAAUCAAGGCUGUCGAAGAUAAUGAAGAAGAAUCUCAACCCAAAAGGAUAACUAGGGGUGGAUCUAGGAUAUCCAAGCUGGGAUUAAUAAUGAGUAUGCUAAUGUUAAUGAUGUUUUGUCAGCUGUCAAAUGCAUCACUCACCGUUGAAAAUACGCCUAAGUAUUAAAUUGAAAAAAUAAAUAAAACGUCAGCAAUAUAUUUGGAUCCAAUGGGUAGAAGUAGAAAUUGUCUCGUCCUCUUGGAAUUUGGUUGUUUUCUAUAAUAUGGUUGCUUAUUUUGAAAUGAUAAGCAAAGGAAGCGUUCUAGUGAACAAGAUGAGACUGGUGUGUGAAAAACUUCAUAGUUUCGAAGAUCAGUGUAAAUUUGUUCUAGACAAUACUUUAAAAUAAUAAAUUAUUCAUGGCACAUAGUAA